CGAUUAAGCCAUGCAAGUCGAGAGGGUUCGGCCCUCGGCGUACUGCUCAGUAACACGUGGAUAACCUGCCCUUGGGUCUGGGAUAACCCCGGGAAACUGGGGAUAAUACCGGAUAACGCAUAUGUGCUGGAAUGCUUUAUGCGUAAAACGGAUUCGUCCGCCCAAGGAUGGGUCUGCGGCCUAUCAGGUAGUAGUGGGUGUAAUGUACCUACUAGCCAACAACGGGUCCGGGUUGUGAGAGCAAGAGCCCGGAGAUGGAUUCUGAGACAUGAAUCCAGGCCCUACGGGGCGCAGCAGGCGCGAAAACUUUACAAUGCGGGAAACCGUGAUAAGGGAACACCGAGUGCCAGCAUCAUAUGCUGGCUGUCCAGAUGUGUAAACUACAUCUGUUAGCAAGGGCCGGGCAAGACCGGUGCCAGCCGCCGCGGUAACACCGGCGGCCCGAGUGGUGACCGUUAUUAUUGGGUCUAAAGGGUCCGUAGCCGGUUUGGUCAGUCCUCCGGGAAAUCUGAUAGCUUAACUGUUAGGCUUUCGGGGGAUACUGCCAGGCUUGGAACCGGGAGAGGUAAGAGGUACUACAGGGGUAGGAGUGAAAUCUUGUAAUCCCUGUGAGACCACCUGUGGCGAAGGCGUCUUACCAGAACGGGUUCGACGGUGAGGGACGAAAGCUGGGGGCACGAACCGGAUUAGAUACCCGGGUAGUCCCAGCCGUAAACUAUGCUCGCUAGGUGUCAGGCAUGGCGCGACCGUGUCUGGUGCCGCAGGGAAGCCGUGAAGCGAGCCACCUGGGAAGUACGGCCGCAAGGCUGAAACUUAAAGGAAUUGGCGGGGGAGCA
Molecule: ribosomal RNA, 836 nt
Filed under: uncultured archaeon
Lineage: Archaea
Description: bacterial SSU rRNA
Rfam family: Archaeal small subunit ribosomal RNA
Source: RNAcentral